AGCGGCGGAUGGGUGAGUAACACGUGGGGAACCUGCCCCUAAGUCUGGGAUACCAUUUGGAAACAGGUGCUAAUACCGGAUAAUAAAGCAGAUCGCAUGAUCAGCUUUUGAAAGGCGGCGUAAGCUGUCGCUAAGGGAUGGCCCCGCGGUGCAUUAGCUAGUUGGUAAGGUAACGGCUUACCAAGGCGACGAUGCAUAGCCGAGUUGAGAGACUGAUCGGCCACAUUGGGACUGAGACACGGCCCAAACUCCUACGGGAGGCAGCAGUAGGGAAUCUUCCACAAUGGACGCAAGUCUGAUGGAGCAACGCCGCGUGAGUGAAGAAGGUUUUCGGAUCGUAAAGCUCUGUUGUUGGUGAAGAAGGAUAGAGGUAGUAACUGGCCUUUAUUUGACGGUAAUCAACCAGAAAGUCACGGCUAACUACGUGCCAGCAGCCGCGGUAAUACGUAGGUGGCAAGCGUUGCCCGGAUUUAUUGGGCGUAAAGCGAGCGCAGGCGGAAAAAUAAGUCUAAUGUGAAAGCCCUCGGCUUAACCGAGGAACUGCAUCGGAAACUGUUUUUCUUGAGUGCAGAAGAGGAGAGUGGAACUCCAUGUGUAGCGGUGGAAUGCGUAGAUAUAUGGAAGAACACCAGUGGCGAAGGCGGCUCUCUGGUCUGCAACUGACGCUGAGGCUCGAAAGCAUGGGUAGCGAACAGGAUUAGAUACCCUGGUAGUCCAUGCCGUAAACGAUGAGUGCUAAGUGU
Molecule: ribosomal RNA, 743 nt
Filed under: uncultured bacterium
Lineage: Bacteria
Description: bacterial SSU rRNA
Rfam family: Bacterial small subunit ribosomal RNA
Source: RNAcentral